RNAcentral lists this ribosomal RNA (368 nucleotides) under Hepatozoon catesbianae. Its description in RNAcentral is "SSU rRNA". It matches the Rfam family "Eukaryotic small subunit ribosomal RNA", at positions 1237 to 1626 of the family's 1831-position model. Lineage: Eukaryota; Apicomplexa; Hepatozoidae. The record is from RNAcentral.
GGAUUGACUUAUUGAUCUCUCUCUCUUACUUCUAUGGGUGGUGGUGCAUGGCCGCUCUUAAGUUUGUGGAUGAUUGUCCUGGUUAAUUCAGUUAACGAACGACACCUUAACCUGCUAAAUAGGGUUAAAAACUUUUGUUUUUAAAUUACUUCUUAAAAGGACUUUGCGUGUCUAACGCAAGGAAGUUUGAGGCAAUAACAGGUCUGUGAUGCCCUUAGAUGUUCUGGGCUGCACGCGCGCUACAUUGAUGCAUCUAACAAGUUUAUAACCUUAGCUGAUAAGCUUAGGUAAUCUUUUGAGUGCGCAUCGUAAUGGGGAUAAAUUAUUGUAAUUAUUAAUCUUUAACGAGGAAUGCCUAGUAGGCGCAA